This 73-nucleotide transfer RNA is filed under the name Deltaproteobacteria bacterium. RNAcentral describes it as "tRNA-Gly". It matches the Rfam family "tRNA". From Rfam's summary of the family: Transfer RNA (tRNA) molecules are approximately 80 nucleotides in length. The record is from RNAcentral. Lineage: Bacteria; Pseudomonadati; Myxococcota; Myxococcia.
GCGGGCGUAGCUCAGUUGGUAGAGCGCGAGCUUCCCAAGCUUGAGGUCGCCGGUUCGAACCCGGUCGCCCGCU